Molecule: ribosomal RNA, 460 nt
Filed under: uncultured bacterium
Lineage: Bacteria
Description: partial 16S ribosomal RNA
Rfam family: Bacterial small subunit ribosomal RNA
Source: RNAcentral
CCUACGGGUGGCAGCAGUGAGGAAUAUUGGUCAAUGGGCGGGAGCCUGAACCAGCCAAGUCGCGUGAGGGAAGACGGUACUGAGUAUUGUAAACCUCUUUUGCCAGGGGAUAAAGUCGGCCACGGGUGGCCGUAAGAAGGUACCUGAAGAAUAAGCAUCGGCUAACUCCGUGCCAGCAGCCGCGGUAAUACGUAGGUGGCAAGCGUUAUCCGGGUUUAUUGGGUGUAAGGGGCGAGUAGCUGGGAGGGCAAGUCCGAUGUGAAAACUCAGGGCUCAACCCUGAUCCUGCAUUUGAAACUGGGGUUCUUGAGUGCUGGUGAGGCAAUCGGAAUUCGUGGUGUAGCGGUGAAAUGCGUAGAUAUACGGAGGAACACCAGUGGCGAAGGCGGAUUGCUGGACAGUAACUGACGCUGAGGCGCGAAAGCGUGGGGAGCAAACAGGAUUAGAUACCCGUGUAGUC